This 490-nucleotide ribosomal RNA is filed under the name uncultured bacterium. RNAcentral describes it as "partial 16S ribosomal RNA". It matches the Rfam family "Bacterial small subunit ribosomal RNA", at positions 28 to 507 of the family's 1533-position model. The record is from RNAcentral.
GAUGAACGCUAGCUACAGGCUUAACACAUGCAAGUCGAGGGGAAACGACAUUGAAGCUUGCUUCGAUGGUCGUCGACCGGCGCACGGGUGAGUAACGCGUAUCCAACCUGCCUCUGACCAAGGGAUAACCCGUCGAAAGUCGGCCUAAUACCUUAUGCAGUCGUCGGAAGUCAUCUGAUGACGACGAAAGAUUUCAUCGGUGAGAGAUGGGGAUGCGUCUGAUUAGCUUGUUGGCGGGGUAACGGCCCACCAAGGCAACGAUCAGUAGGGGUUCUGAGAGGAAGGUCCCCCACAUUGGAACUGAGACACGGUCCAAACUCCUACGGGAGGCAGCAGUGAGGAAUAUUGGUCAAUGGGCGAGAGCCUGAACCAGCCAAGUAGCGUGCAGGAUGACGGCCCUAUGGGUUGUAAACUGCUUUUAUGCGGGGAUAAAGUGAGGGACGUGUCCUUCAUUGCAGGUACCGCAUGAAUAGGACCGGCUAAUUCCGUG